Molecule: ribosomal RNA, 666 nt
Filed under: Pantoea stewartii
Lineage: Bacteria; Pseudomonadati; Pseudomonadota; Gammaproteobacteria; Enterobacterales; Erwiniaceae
Description: bacterial SSU rRNA
Rfam family: Bacterial small subunit ribosomal RNA
Source: RNAcentral
CAUGCAAGUCGGACGGUAGCACAGGAGGAGCUUGCUCCUCGGGUGACGAGUGGCGGACGGGUGAGUAAUGUCUGGGAAACUGCCCGAUGGAGGGGGAUAACUACUGGAAACGGUAGCUAAUACCGCACAACGUCGCAAGACCAAAGUGGGGGACCUCCGGGCCUCACACCAUCGGAUGUGCCCAAAUGGGAUUAGCUUGUAGGCGGGGUAACGGCCCGCCUAGGCGACGAUCCCUACCUGGUCUGAGAGGAUGACCACCCACACUGGAACUGAGACACGGCCCAGACUCCUACGGGAGGCGGCAGUGGGGAAUAUUGGACAAUGGGCGCAAGCCUGAUGCACCCAUGCCGCGUGUAUGAACAAGGCCUUCGGGUUGUAAAGUACUUUCAGCGGGGAGGAAGGUGUUGAGGUUAAUAACCUCAGCAAUUGACGUUACCCGCAGAACAAGCACCGGCUAACUCCGUGCCAGCAGCCGCGGUAAUACGGAGGGUGCAAGCGUUAAUCGGAAUUACUGGGCGUAAAGCGCACGCAGGCGGUCUGUUAAGUCAGAUGUGAAAUCCCCGGGCUUAACCUGGGAACUGCAUUUGAAACUGGCAGGCUUGAGUCUCGUAGAGGGGGGUAGAAUUCCAGGUGUAGCGGUGAAAUGCGUAGAGAUCUGGAGGAAUA